This 433-nucleotide ribosomal RNA is filed under the name uncultured bacterium. RNAcentral describes it as "partial 16S ribosomal RNA". It matches the Rfam family "Bacterial small subunit ribosomal RNA", at positions 29 to 507 of the family's 1533-position model. The record is from RNAcentral.
AACGAACGCUGGCGGCAGGCCUAACACAUGCAAGUCGAACGCGCCCUCCGGGGUGAGCGGCGGUCGGGUGAGUGACGAGGGGGAACUUGCACUUUUCUACGGAGUCGCCGAGGGAAACUGAAAGUAAUGACGUAUACGCCCUUUGGGGGUAAGAUUUCUCGGAAAAGGGUCGGCGCGGGUUGGAUUAGGUAGUUGGUGGUGUAAUGGCAUACCAUGCCGACGAUCCAUAGCUGGUUUGAGAGGAGGCUAAGCAACACUGGGACUGAGACACGGCCUAGACUGGGACGGAAGGGAGGAGUGGGGAAUCUUAGACAAGGGGGGCAAACCUGAUCUAGCCAUGCCGGGUGAGUGAGGAAGGCCGUAGGGUUGUAAAGCUCUUUCAGCUGGGAAGAGAAUGACGGUACCAGCAGAAGAAGCCCCGGCUAACUACGUG